AUGACCUGAGCUGAAGGCAGACACUUAACCGACCGAACCACCCAGGCGUCCACACAAUGCUAAAUCCAAUGAUGCCAAAGAAAGAAAAGAAGUACAGAAAUUACAUCAUUUUAUCACAUCUUUGGAAACUCUUUGGUACGAGGUAACAGAUCAGUAAGGAUUUUAAGAGAAAUAUCUCUGCCACCUCCAGAAAAUUUUGUGCAGAAGGAAAGAAAAUACCAGAAGGCAAAUGCAGAAGGAGUUAUUGAAGAAAAUCAAGAGACAGCUAAACUAGAGAAAAGAGAAGAAAGAUGGAAUAAUUUGUCCCUAUAUUUUGAAAAAUAAAUUAAAGAAAAUCAUAGUUCUGGAAUAAAAAGACUAGAAGAUUUUCUCCAGACAUGCUCUGUUAAAUCUACAAAAUUUACUGCAGAAGUGGUAGGAUCGGAUGCCUGCUUCAAAUUAUGGAUAGAACACUGUUCAAAACCAGGUAUAUAAGUAUGUUAAUUUUAGAAAUGUUUUUGAAAUAAAAGGUCAAAAGAAUUGGUACUGGCCACAUCAUUCUCAUUCAUCAGUCUUGUAUGACUUUGGGAAACUUUUUGAUGUCUAAAGAAUAAGAUUUUCUCUUGUUUAAUCCAAUAAUAACAGCAUGGCUAUUUGUGUAUAAGUGUUGGUGGAUGGAUUCAGCUUGAAAUUCAAUUCAGGAAACAGUUCUUCAAGAUCAAUCAUGAGCUGAGUAUCUUGUUAAGUGACCAUGGGGCUUCUGAAGAGAAGAGCACUUGCUCUGCUCUGAAGGUGGUUCAUGAUCAGUCUCUCAAGGGACUCAGGCACAUGCUUAACUAACCACAAUGUAAUGCAGUAA
Long non-coding RNA from Lutra lutra (Eurasian river otter), 838 nucleotides. RefSeq lists it as uncharacterized. NCBI's taxonomy places the organism in Eukaryota, Metazoa, Chordata, Mammalia, Carnivora, Mustelidae. The transcript has 3 exons. The record is from RefSeq and is a predicted model, not a curated record.